AGUCGAGCGAGCGGAACUAAAGAUUUACUUCGGUAAUGACGUUAGGAAAGCGAGCGGCGGAUGGGUGAGUAACACGUGGGGAACCUGCCCCAUAGUCUGGGAUACCACUUGGAAACAGGUGCUAAUACCGGAUAAGAAAGCAGAUCGCAUGAUCAGCUUUUAAAAGGCGGCGUAAGCUGUCGCUAUGGGAUGGCCCUGCGGUGCAUUAGCUAGUUGGUAAGGUAAAGGCUUACCAAGGCGAUGAUGCAUAGCCGAGUUGAGAGACUGAUCGGCCACAUUGGGACUGAGACACGGCCCGAACUCCUACGGGAGGCAGCAGUAGGGAAUCUUCCACAAUGGACGCAAGUCUGAUGGAGCAACGCCGCGUGAGUGAAGAAGGUUUUCGGAUCGUAAAGCUCUGUUGUUGGUGAAGAAGGAUAGAGGUAGUAACUGGCCUUUAUUUGACGGUAAUCAACCAGAAAGUCACGGCUAACUACGUGCCAGCAGCCGCGGUAAUACGUAGGUGGCAAGCGUUGUCCGGAUUUAUUGGGCGUAAAGCGAGCGCAGGCGGAAGAAUAAGUCUGAUGUGAAAGCCCUCGGCUUAACCGAGGAACUGCAUCGGAAACUGUUUUUCUUGAGUGCAGAAGAGGAGAGUGGAUCUCCAUGUGUAGCGGUGGAAUGCGUAGAUAUAUGGAAGAACACCAGUGGCGAAGGCGGCUCUCUGGUCUGCAACUGACGCUGAGGCUCGAAAGCAUGGGUAGUGAACAGGAUUAGAUACCCUGGUAGUCCAUGCCGUANACGAUGAGUGCUAAGUGUUGGGAGGUUUCCGCCUCUCAGUGCUGCAGCUAACGCAUUAAGCACUC
This 842-nucleotide ribosomal RNA is filed under the name uncultured bacterium. RNAcentral describes it as "bacterial SSU rRNA". It matches the Rfam family "Bacterial small subunit ribosomal RNA", at positions 60 to 869 of the family's 1533-position model. The record is from RNAcentral.